UACUAUUAUUAUACUAAUCCUUGAGAUGCUGAUACCUAAUUGUCUAAAUACUUUCUCAAAUUGAUAUAUUUCCAUUAUGUGACAAUUAUGUUUAUUAUUAUUGCCAAUGCAAUAUUUCUUUGAAGCCUCUUUGGUGCACUAUAAAUACACAUGAAGAAGAUUAUUAUAAUUUCAGUAUUUCUUAGAUUGUUAUUCUCAUUAUGAUAUUUCCCUAUAUUAUUAUGUAUUAUUUUCCUAGUAACUUCUCUAAAUUAUUAUUAUCAUUUUAUUACUCCCAUCAUUACACCAAUAAUUAAUUUAAAUUUUCUAACCACAGACUCAGUGUAAGCUAUCAUUCAUGGUUAUUCAAGAAGUUAAAGUGUUCAUAGUUAUUCACACAACACUAUCAAAUUGUCUUAAUACUGCAUUUAACUUGUAUAAGAAAAAAAAAGGAUGGUGUAAAUGCUCGAGUUACACCAUGUAAAUGGUUACACUGAGUGGCUGAACUUUCUUCUAAGAAGUGGUACAGACGAAGUGACUGAAGAAGAACAACAAAAGGAGGAAGACGACUGUGAUUUAAUCUGGCUCGCGCCAGGCCGUUCGACCCCGCGGCUAGAACCGCGCAAAUGCACAUAACCGGAUCGUUUAGAUUCUUAAGAUGAUUAGCUAAUCGGCAGUAACGAUUUGCCACGGAUGAUGCCUACGGUCGCGGUUCACCCUAUUAAUAUUGUUACGUCAGACUAAGUUUACGUCAUGCUACAUAACCGGAUGAAUGUAUAACAUUUCAUGGUGGAACAUCAGGAUUCCGGUGCCCACGUAUAAUUUCCGGAACCUGGAAUAGUGCCAUGGGCACAGUUUCCUGUUUCCUCUUCGUUGAAGUUAUUUUUAUUAUAAGUAGAUGUUGAGCAUAUUCUUUCUUAAUAUAAUUAUUAUUUUUAUUAUUUUAUGAAAUACUUUGUUAGAUUAGAUUGUUUCUGUGUUGAAAUAUUUAUUAUAUACAUCAUCUCUCUGUGGAAUAUUUUUUUAUGAAAUAUCUUUUCACUUCUUAUGGAACGUUUCUUUAUUUUAAAUAUUCUUUUCGUAGAUUAUCUUUUUCUGAAUCAUCCGUAUUUAGAAAAAAUUCUCCUUUAAUUCUUCGAAAUAAUGUCUUCACUGCAGAAAAUUCUCCUGUUGUCUAUCUCUUUAUACAAUUCAAUCCAAAAUCCUCCCAGACGUAUCAUCUCCUUGGUAAAAGAUUCGUUUCAGUAUUUUCAACCAAUCCGAGUGCAUUUGUUCUGCGUUCUCUUUAACUCGCCAACGCUUAUCCUCCAUUAGAGCCCGCAGAAAGUUAUGCCAACCAGCAUUCCUGAUUUCAUACAUGAUAAACUCGUUUACCCAUCGAGUGCGUAGAGCAAUGAUUCCAACAAUCACGUGCUGUUCAUCUUAUGGUCGUCUAGAAGGAUCCAACUAUCAUAGUAUGUUAUCCUGUCCCAUCACGUGCAUACAUCAUCUCUUCUCUCCUCGACUAUCAAUCUCACGUUAUAAGACGCGUUACGGCGUUAUAUACAAAUAUAGCAUAAUACAUACAUAAUAAAUAUAGUAAAUCAUAGUCAAACCUUGUAAAAUUUAUAUAUGUUAUAAUUUUAUCUUUAAUAAAGACGUUAUAUUCUUCUGAAUUUUUAAGGGAAGCAUUUUUAAUCAAAAAACUUUUUCUAGGAAAAAUAAAAUUUUAGGGAUAUUUCUGGAUUGAAAUUCAUACUAAUGUAUUUGAAGUACCAAGGCUUCAAAUUCUGUUAAACGCUUGUUGGAUAAGCCUAGUCAUUUUGGUCACCUAUAUAAGGGAUGUUGUAUAUUGCUUUGCAACGUUAUAGCCGCAUGUAUUAAUGUAAUUUCAUCGGUGUUGCAGCGACUCGAGGAGUGGUUAUUGUUCUCUGUCGCAACAAAGUUGAAGUGCUUAUGAAGAACAUAAAUUCCCGUAAUAGCGCUACGAAACGAGUGGUCUGAGAUCUCCUUUAAAUGAUUCUACGAUAAUUCUUCUCUUGUUACAGUUGAAAUAGGCGAUUACCAUAAGAGAUUAAUAGAUAAAUAAAAAUAAAUUGAAGAUGAAAUUGCGAUACAUAUAAGCUUUAUAAAUUUUGAUCAAUUAGCUUUUGUAUUAUAAAAUAAUAAUAAUAAUAAUUUUACAAAUUCUAAUAAGUAAUCAUUUUGAACUUUCAGGAUAUCACGAUAGAAGAUAACGAAGAGAAAGAGAAGAGAUGCUAUCUAAAGUGCAAAAUCGAUGUCCGGUCGAUCCAUUCUACAUUUACGUAAGCAGAUCGUGCAUUGAGUGCUCGACAAAGUUCAAUGUUACUUGUAGAAUCAGCGUUAACCCAGAUCUAUUCAUCUAUUGCAACCCUUGCCUCUACUAUGAAACAGUAUGUCGGAAAUGCAGAAUGAAUGGAUCAAUGAGUAACGCGGUUUAGUGAACUAAAUCGUUCAAGAUCAAUUUCCUUUGUGUUAUCUCUUCAAUUAACUGGGUAGCAUCAAUCGUUGAAGAGAACGUAAUUUAGUUUCUAUCGCAACAGCGAAUUGUUCCUUGUUCUGAAACCAGCCCAAGAAGAAGCAUAAUUCCCUGGGACACCAUAUUGGGUAUUCAAUGGUGGUUCACAUUGCACAAUUCCUAUGCUCACCAUGAGGGCAAGAGUUAACUGGAAAUUAAGGCGUGGUUAAUCACAUCAGACACUGAGGAAUAUUUAUAGGAUACACCUCAAGAAUUACUUCAGAGAUCUACUGAUAUUUGUGGAUUAUACGUUAAAGAUUACUAUAACUAGUAACCUUCGGAAAUCUAUCUGGAAGCUUGCAAACCUAUCAGUGUCUCAAAUGUCAAUAAAACGGCAUUGACCUAAUUAUUGAUUCUUAAUUAUUAAAAUAUUACUAAUAAUAAUAUUCAAGUUGCUAUUCUCUCAUGAUAAUCACAACGCAUAGCGUUAAUAGCAUAAUAAAUGAGUAGUGCGGAGGAAUAAUUAAUUCGAAAGGUAUCAGACAGAUUCCCAGGCGUAGAACAGAUGCGUCGCGUCGAAAGCGCGAGAUGAUCAAGGCAGCUCACGUUGCGUAGGCGAGAAAUUGGAGUCGUGAGCCAGCGUUUUCCUCCCGUUUCUGUCGUGAGAAAGCCUCCGAGUGCGCAAAAGAGAGGGAAACGUUGCGUCAUGUCGCGCCGCGUUCAAAAUCAGAGCCAGAUUAAGCGCGAUUGCGGGAAAGGAAGAAGAAAGAUGAAAACGAAGGAAUUAGAUUGUGUUCCGUUGGAUUACAACAAGUUCUCGUUAAAGAAUCGUCUUGUUAUAUAUAUAUAUCCUUUUACAAGGAAACAAAUUUUUCAAACUCACGCAGUCCACCAGUCACGCUCUCUGUAUUGUGUACCGAACAAUGUAAUAACAGAAUAUUGGGCACAAAUUCAUCCGGAUGUGAAAUAAGAAAUGUAACUUUCGUUCAUGAAUAAGUCAACAGUGACUUAAUUAUAUCUGUGAAAUGAUUUUUUAAAUUCCAAGAGAUGUUACAUAUUGUAUUAAAGAAUUGAUAAAUAAUAAAAUUUUUCAGGAUUAUAGGUUAA
Long non-coding RNA from Bombus terrestris (buff-tailed bumblebee), 3544 nucleotides. RefSeq lists it as uncharacterized. Lineage: Eukaryota; Metazoa; Arthropoda; Insecta; Hymenoptera; Apidae. The transcript has 4 exons. The record is from RefSeq and is a predicted model, not a curated record.